CUGCCAGUAGUUAUAUGCUUGUCUCAAAGAUUAAGCCAUGCAAGUGUAAGUUCAUCUCUGUUGAGAGAAACUGUGAAUGGCUCAUUAAUCCAGAUAAGAAUUACGCAAGCUUCGUAAGUCAUGGAUAACUGUGGCAACCCUAGAGCUAAUACAAUUGAAAGUACCAGAUUUUAGGAGAUGGUUUCAGGUAUUAGAUAUAAAAUCUUGAGAAUCCACGAUUCUUCAUUUAGGGUGAGACAUUUUACUUAAGAAAUCUGCGCACGUAGAUAUUUGCUCAUAUGUCUGACCUAUCAGCUGAAGAUGGUAGGGUUGUGGCCUACCAUGGCAUUGACGGGUAACGGGGAAUUAGGGUUCUACUCCGGAGAGGCAGCCUGAGAAACGGCUACCACAUCUAAGGAAGGCAGCAGGCGCGUAAAUUACCCAAUCCUUACACAGGGAGGUAGUGACAAGAAAUAACAAUAUGUGAGAGGUAUCUCACGUAAUUGGAAUGACUUGACUGUAAAAAUGUCAGGGAGUACCAAUUGGAGGGCAAGUCUGGUGCCAGCAGCCGCGGUAAUUCCAGCUCCAAUAGCGUAUGCUAAAGUUGUUGCGGUUAAAACGCUCGUAGUUGUAUGUUCCUCCAGGGCAUUUGGGGAUAUCUUAUAGAUGUUUCUGAAUGGUUUGUGAAAUUAUCCUGUUACGCAAGUUCCCUUGGGAGUGUGCGGGAAAGGAUACUUGUACCUUGAAGAAACUAAAGUGCUUCAAGCAGAUUUAUGUCUGAAUAUUAUAGCAUGGAAUAGUCCGAGAAGACACUGGUUUCAUUAGAGAUUUGUAGAACAAGUGUAAUAAUUAAGAGGAACAGACGGGGACAUUCAUAUUCGCAUGUGAGAGGUGGAAUUCUUGGAUCUCGCGAAGGUGGACCACUGCGAAAGCAUUUGUCAUGGAUGUUUUCAUUAAUCAAGAACGAAAGUUAGGGGAUCGAAGACGAUUAGAUACCGUCCUAGUCUUAACCAUAAACUAUGCCUUUUGGAGAUCAGAUGAACCUCGAUUGUAGAGGAUUCUGGCAUCCUAGGGGAAACUAAAAUUUUUGGGUUCCGGGGGGAGUAUGGUCGCAAGACUGAAACUUAAAGGAAUUGACGGAAGGGCACCACCAGGAGUGGAGCUUGCGGCUUAAUUUGACUCAACGCGAGAAAUCUCACCAGGUCCAGACAUGGGAAGGAUUGACAGAGAAGCAGCUCUUUCUCGAUUAUAUGGGUGGUGGUGCAUGGCCGUUCUCAGUUGGUGGGGUGAUCUGUCUGGUUGAUUCCGAUAACGAACGAGACCUCGGCCUACUAAAUAAGCGACACUUUACAGUAAGUGGCGGUUUCUUAGGGGGACUUUUCGUGACUAAUGAAAGGAAGUACGAGGCUAUAACAGGUCUGUGAUGCCCUUAGAUGUUCUGGGCUGCACGCGCGCUACACUGACAUAGAUAGAGAGGUUCUCCGAUCCGAGAGGAGGGGAGAAACUUGCGAGGAUAUGUCGUGAUGGGGAUAGUUUAUUGCAAUUUUUGAACUUCAACGAGGAAUUCCUAGUAAGCGUACGGAAUGAUCUUACGCUGAUUACGUCCCUGCCCUUUGUACACACCGCCCGUCGCUCCUACCGAUUGAGUUGUCCGGUAAAUUAUGUGGAUGGGA
RNAcentral lists this ribosomal RNA (1652 nucleotides) under Parvilucifera multicavata. RNAcentral describes it as "SSU rRNA". It matches the Rfam family "Eukaryotic small subunit ribosomal RNA". The record is from RNAcentral. Lineage: Eukaryota; Perkinsozoa; Perkinsida; Perkinsidae.